Syngnathus typhle (broad-nosed pipefish) is the source of this 7864-nucleotide RNA transcript. It is a transcript of the gene named solute carrier family 12 member 4, with no coding region annotated. NCBI's taxonomy places the organism in Eukaryota, Metazoa, Chordata, Actinopteri, Syngnathiformes, Syngnathidae. The transcript is spliced from 28 exons. The record is from RefSeq and is a predicted model, not a curated record.
CAAAGCUGAGGGAUCAGCGUAACCUUUCCAAAGGGAGGAUGACUUCACAUAAGCCAACCCUCACAUCGGGAAACUCCUCCUGCUUUGUCAGCGAACCCAAAUGUCUUCUCAUGGUCUUUCCCAGUUAAGAACUCCACCUCAGAAUCGGGGCCGGUCAGUGGGCGUGGAUUGCAAUCAUAGCCGGCCCUGGGGGAAGUGAGAGCAGGAUAGUGGAAUGCAGUUGCCAUUAGUGGGAAGAGGAGCUAACAAGCUAGCCUGUUAUGCUCAGCUGGAGUUGGGGAUGAAAUCAUGCCUCACUUUACGGUGGUACCCGUGAGGGAUCGAGCCCAGUCUGGAUAUGACAGUCUGGAGGGGAUCAACUCUGUGGACCACAGCGAUGGUGUCCCACUGGAUAAUCAAGACACGGUCAGCUCCGACGGACAUGGCAAUCACAAAGAAGACCACCCAUUUCUCAACAGUCCUGAUGAGAAGAAGGACUUCUACGAUAGGAACUUGGCCUUGUUCGAGGAAGAGCUGGACAUCCGACCCAAAGUGUCUUCUCUGCUCAGUCGCUUGGUCAGCUACACAAACAUCACCCAGGGAGCCAAGGAGCAUGAGGAAGAGGAGAGCGCGGAGGCUUCGCGCCGAAAGACUCCCAAGUCCCCCAACAUGGGUACUCUGAUGGGCGUCUACUUACCGUGCCUCCAGAACAUUUUCGGGGUCAUCCUCUUCCUGCGACUGACGUGGAUCGUCGGGGUGGCUGGCAUCAUGCAGUCCCUGUUAAUUGUUAUCAUGUGCUGCACGUGUACCAUGCUCACGGCCAUAUCAAUGAGUGCCAUUGCAACAAAUGGUGUCGUUCCAGCCGGCGGGGCCUACUUUAUGAUCUCACGCUCUCUGGGUCCAGAAUUUGGAGGAGCUGUGGGCCUGUGCUUCUACCUUGGCACCACCUUUGCUUCCGCCAUGUACAUCCUCGGAGCCAUUGAAAUAUUCUUGCAAUACCUGGUGCCUCAGGCCGCCGUCUUUCAUGCUGCGGACCACCACGGCACCGACAGCGCGAUGCUGAACAACAUGCGCGUCUACGGCACCAUCUGCCUCAGCCUUAUGGCCGUGGUGGUUUUCGUGGGGGUCAAAUAUGUCAAUAAGUUGGCCUCGCUCUUCCUCGCCUGCGUCAUUAUUUCAAUCAUCUCCAUCUACGCCGGCGCGAUCAAGUCCGCCUCUCAUCCGCCAGAAUUCCCGAUUUGCAUGCUUGGCAACAGGACCUUGGUCAGAGAUCGUUUUGAUGUGUGCGCAAAGACCGUCACCAUUGGCAACGUCACAGCACCCAGUCAGCUGUGGGACAUGUUCUGCCUUCCGGGGAACGCGAGCAGCGCACAGUGUGAUGACUAUUUCCUGCAGAAUAACGUCACAGAAAUCCAGGGCAUUCCCGGAUUGGCUAGUGGAAUAUUUAAAGACAACUUAUGGGGCGACUACCUGCAGAAAGGCGAGGUACUGGAGAAGGAUGGCCUCGCGUCGGUGGACUCCCACAGCACCAUGGAGCACUUUGGCAUGUAUGUCUCUGCAGACAUCGCCACGUCCUUUAUGCUGCUGGUGGGCAUCUUCUUCCCCUCGGCCACAGGCAUUAUGGCAGGCUCCAACCGGUCUGGAGAUCUCCGGGAUGCUCAGAAAUCCAUUCCCAUUGGAACCAUCUUAGCUAUUACCACCACGACUCUUGUCUAUCUAACAUCUGUGAUUUUGUUUGGGGCCUGUGUGGAAGGUGUGGUCCUAAGAGACAAGUUUGGUGAUGCCGUUAGGAACAAUUUGGUCGUAGGAACUCUGUCCUGGCCAUCCCCUUGGGUUAUUGUCAUCGGUUCCUUCUUCUCCACGGUGGGGGCAGGUCUGCAGACACUCACUGGAGCGCCUAGACUUCUUCAGGCUAUCGCUACGGACAAUAUCAUCCCGUUCCUCAGAGUUUUUGGUCAUGGGAAGGCUAAUGGUGAGCCAACAUGGGCCCUAUUGCUGACUGUUCUCAUAGCUGAGCUUGGUAUCCUGAUCGCCUCAUUGGAUAUGGUGGCACCUAUUCUUUCCAUGUUUUUCCUGAUGUGCUACCUCUUUGUCAACCUGGCCUGUGCCGUGCAAACACUCCUUCGCACCCCCAACUGGAGGCCGAGGUUCAGAUACUACCACUGGACUCUAUCCUUCCUCGGAAUGAGCAUGUGCUUGGCCCUGAUGUUCAUCUCCUCCUGGUAUUACGCUAUUGUGGCCAUGGGCAUUGCAGGGAUGAUCUACAAGUACAUCGAGUACCAGGGAGCAGAGAAGGAGUGGGGAGAUGGCAUCAGAGGACUUUCCCUAAGUGCUGCACGCUAUGCCCUGUUAAGGUUAGAAGUGGGACCCCCGCAUACCAAGAACUGGAGACCUCAGCUGUUGGUUCUGUCAAAGCUGGAUGAGGAUCUCCACAUUAAAUAUCCCCGACUGCUGACUUUUGCCUCGCAGCUAAAGGCCGGGAAGGGUCUUACCAUUGUGGGAUCUGUCAUCCAGGGAAAUUUCCUGGAAGGGUAUGGAGAACUGCAAGCAGCAGAACAGACCAUCAAGAACAUGAUGGACAUUGAGAGGGUCAAGGGUUUCUGUCAGGUGGUGGUGGCAAGCAAGGUGCGGGAGGGGAUCGUCCAUUUGAUCCAGUCCUGCGGUCUUGGGGGCAUGAAGCACAACACGGUGAUGAUGGGAUGGCCGUACGGCUGGAGGCAAAGCGAGGAUCCUCGAGCUUGGAAGACUUUUAUCAACACAGUCCGUUGCACCACUGCGGCCCACCUGGCUCUAAUGGUGCCCAAAAACGUGUCGUUCUACCCGAGCAACCACGAGCGCUUCACCGACGGCAGCAUUGACGUGUGGUGGAUCGUCCACGAUGGGGGGAUGCUCAUGCUGCUGCCUUUCCUGCUUAAGCAACAUAAAGUGUGGAGAAAAUGCCGAAUGCGUAUCUUCACUGUCGCCCAGAUGGAUGACAACAGCAUCCAGAUGAAGAAGGAUUUAGCCACAUUCCUCUACCAGUUGAGGAUAGAGGCAGAAGUGGAAGUGGUGGAGAUGCACGAUAGCGACAUCUCGGCGUACACUUACGAGCGCACGCUGAUGAUGGAGCAGAGAUCUCAGAUGCUGAGGCAGAUGAGACUGUCCGGCGCAGAGAGGAAGAGAGAGGCCCAACUUAUUAAGGACAGACAUUCACUGGUGCGAAUGGGAAGUUUGUACUCGGACGAGGAGGACGACACAUUGGACAGUCCUCUGCCGGAGAACGUUCACAUGACGUGGACGAAGGAGAAAUGCGAAGCUGAGAGGAGAAUCCGAAACAAUGCACCCGAAAACUUCAGAGAGCUCAUGAGCCUCAAACCUUCAUCUUCUCCCGCGGCGUGACGGACAGUGAGAGUGGGGGUUGCCGAGCGGCUCACAGACAAGCGUGUCGGAGAGAUGCUGAAAGAAAGCCAAUGCCGAGAGUCUUCCGUGCGCUCUCCUGGGUGCGGCUGUCCCACUAAAUCAACACUCACCGUCUCCUCCCCCGCCGGGCUGAGACUUACAGCAUGAGAGUAGGCGCCAUAGGCCCCAAACUGGAUAGUCAUGGGACUGAAGAUGCCGAGCUGACCCGCCAUCUGGUGCAUCCGGCGCAAAGUCCGCUCCUUGUCGGUGUCUGCGAAUUUGACCACCAAGCUGGACGAGGCGCCCUAAAGAUAAAAUGGAGCUUGAAGGAGAAGCAAAGUGGGGACCUGGAUGAUGAUGAUGAUCAUGAUGAUGAUCAUGAUGAUGAUGACGGUGACAAUGAGAGGAGAAUUUUUUCCUAAGUGAGCUACAAGUAACAGUACAGUCCUGCAAAGGGCAAAAGACAAGACUCGGACCAUUCAAUCCAGCAACGUCAAAACUGAUUGUUGUAAAAGUGGACUCAAGCAUGGAUCCGUUCUGAAAGACGUGCUGCUCAUCACAGACCACGCAGUACUCGUUAAGCGUGGGGAUCCUCUGCUCGGAGUACUUCAUUAUCUGUCCAAGCCACAUGGCCGCCAGCGCAAUCUCCUCAAACUGAUUGCCUAUUCACUUUGUCACCCAGUGGGAACUGAGCCCAUACUGUCUGCACCAGUCAGGCAAGUGAAUCACUAUAUCAUUAUUUUCUUGAAGAGGGGCCAAAUUGUGAAAUGACAUUAUCAGACUCUCAACAGUCCACUUCCAAGGAAGUUUAAUAUAGUGAAAAUAUUCUCAAAUGCUAUAUUUUAGGAUCUUUAUAAUCUCCCGCUGCAUCUCAUUUCUGCAUGUUGGCUCAAAAAUGUCCCAGGGAGCCCAAUCUCUCGCCAUCCAGACAGGAAGUGAGACUCUUGAUCACCUCAGCUUGCUGAGACUUUUCACAGACCUUCAUCCUUAUCUUUCCCUCUCUGCUUUUAUGUUCUACAACGGCAUAGAGACAAGCUCCGAGCCCCCUGAUAGGAUUUACAUUUCAAUUACAGGUCUUGGACGAUAACGCAAAUUGGGAUCAUAAAGUUAGCGUGAAAGACGGAAUGGGAAAAUACUUUACAGGGUGUCUAAUGGUGACAGUGCUCCAAAAGAAGACAGUACCAUAUUUUACCUUCUCAACAGCUCAUGCUGAACAAUGGAAAUUUUUAAAAAUAUAUCAUAAAAAGAAAACUGAGUUCUCUGUCACUGUUCAUACUUUCAAAUGGUCAGUUUUUCCUUCCUUAGAAAUUACAAUGAGCUAUUUUUAGAAUGGGCCCGAGGUCAACACGUUGGUGACCCCCGCGCUAAAGUGAUUGGAGUCAGAGUCAGCUUUAUUGUCAAUUCCUUCAUGCCAAGACGCACAAAGAAAUCGAAAUUACGUUUCCUCCAUCCCACGGUGACGAGACACAGUACACGAGUAACAUACAAGUAAACAACGGGGGAGAGAGUUGUGGCUAACAAAGCAGCAGUUUUAUAAGAACUGGAGCAAAAGUGUCAUUACCUCAAUGAAAAGGACAAUUUCUUCUAACUGCCUUGAACAAAAGCGCGAACAAGUCUCUUGCGAGAACUGUACUUUAUGAUCCGACUAGCCCAUAUAAUGCUUGUCUAAUCACCUUCCACCUUCACAAACUUCUUCUCAUAAUGACUCUAUUCCACAUGGAUUUGUGGAAUGAACUCCUUCACAAAACUCCAUCUGGGGUGUCAAGGUUAAUUAUGUCCCAACGCCAGCAACAGGAAAUGACUAAACUCGUACCUGGAUGCCGUACAGGAACUGCUCCGGCUCGUUCUCACCGUCGGAUUCCUCGUCGGUCCAGCACUGGCUUUUGAUGUCCUGUGGGCAAGCAAAGCAGCAGCCAUCAUUUCCUUGAGCGCCUUUCAUCACUAUAUUUAUAAUGCACUUUACAAAGUGAUUAAAAAUAACAAUCCUUUUGUUGGGAGAAUUAAAGCAAAUUCCUCGGAGGUCCGAUGGAAUAAAUAGACUUUAUUUGAUGUAGGUACCGAUGAGCCAGCUUACCAUCACUUCAGCUGUUCUCAGGAUUCAAUCAGUCAGCUUUAGGCCUCGUGCCAACCAUUGCAGCUGGGAAGGAAGGAAGCCAGUACGUCUUGCGCACCUUGGUACAACAGACAUAGGUCAGAUCCACGCGGAAACAAAAGAGGCCUUAGCUUAACAUUACACACUUUUGUCAGCAAAUUCUCCUUUAAACCGCCUGCACUUCACCUUCCUGCUGUCUCCUAGCAACAACCGUCUCUGCCUCUUUUUCUGAGUGGCAUUAAUCACUGUGGAGUGUGUGUGUGGGAGAACGGUGCUGGAUGUUCAGAACUGGGGUUGUCUGUGUUACAUUGUGUUUUUUUCCUCGGGAAAAAAAAAAAAUCUAUUCAGGUUGGCUGACCUUUUAAUGGACUUGUAAAAUGUUUUAUUUUUGCCCAGGUCAGCGAGCCUAUUGUUAAAAAUGAACAUUUUCUGAUUUGCUGGCAUGGUGAAUUGGAUUUUUUUUAAAGUCACUGUUUGGAGUGUGCAUAAUCACCAAUCCAUUGGUUUCUAAAGAUUUGAAAUGGAAUUGAUUAAUCGUGUUGAAACAGCAUUCACUUCUUGGCUGCAACCAGCAGUCAUCAAUGUUUAUUUACUGACGAUGCUAUGAACAGCAGUUAAGAAGAUCAAUAAUCUUUCAUUCACGCAUUCAUUAUUUGUUUUCUUUUUUUCUAAUUUUUCAUUCUCUUUAAUAUAUAUUGCAUUUGUGGAAUUUGAAUUGAGCAGAAAAAUCCACCCAUUUUUAUCCAUCUCAGGGUGCAGCCAUUUUGUCUUGUACUGCCAAUUGCUGUCGACUAAAUAUGACAUCACAGUAUCGAAAGGCCUCACCUGUUUGCAGGGUUUGGUCACGUGACAUUUUCAAGCUGACCCCCGUGAUAGAUUUCUCCACCUUCCACAAACACUAAUGAGAAUACUGCGUUUAGUCGUGUGGGAUUGUCGAGAUAUGUUUUUGUGUGACUUCUCCUUUUGUUGGCUAAUUUUACAUGACUUCUCCUUUUGUUGGCUGAUAAUAUUACCUCAAAAACCUCAAAACAUAUCAUGACUGACUUCUAUUGUUUCUGAAAUCUCAACAAAUCCUCCGUCAAGCACCGUUGCAAUAGGUUCCGCUCGAACUACAAAGCUGUCAUGUAUGACAAAGAAAACAGUGGUCCUUCCUAUUUUGGUUCAGUGAGUUCAACAACGUUGUCUUAUCAAAUGCCGGUGCACGGCUGUCACGCAAAAGACCAUUUACAUCAUUAAUAAACCAAAACACAAAGCACUUUAGUGUUACACACAUUACGAUAGAUAAUGCUGAUACGAAUUCCAAACAAGGACAUCAAGUCCCGACACCUCAUGCGUUCUUUGUGCGCCGUGUCGCUUCAGAGACCGUCUUCCUCAUAACUAAAUUCUACCUUGUCACGUACUGAAUAUGAGAAUAUCCCUUUCACUUGCACACAGCAUCCUGAUGUCCCCCCCCCCCCCCCCUAUCACCAUCCCGGUGGCUUUGUGGUGCCACAUUCCACCAUCGUCCUCAUUUCUCCCCAUGAUGAUUAUUUAGCACAAAAUGCAGUCAACCGCGUUUUCCCCCUCCCCCCUCUGCACACCCUCCCCAAACCUCCUCCAUCCAUAUUUACCUUCAGAGAGGAUGGAGACGCGGGAUGCUGUCCUCGCCUCAGCCUCUUCCCGCCUGGCGCCUGCAAGCAAAGACAAAAGGCUCAUCAAAAAUAACUCCGUGAUAUGAGCCGGUGUGUUUGUCAACUGCAGCUCUCACCGCGCCGACCGCCGUCUAGUGUAUUUUGCCUGACAACACUAAAGGGGUUGGAGCAUGCUCAGUGAGAGCAGACAGUCAGGUCAUGUGACCCGCAGCUGACUGCACUGCAGGAUGAUAAAAAAAAAAAAGGAAAGAUAGAGAGGCUUGUGCGCAUGUCUUUGUCUGCUGAUGAGUAAUCAUGUUGAUGCUCUUGAGUGUAUUCAUGUAAUCUACAAACAAUAUUACCGGAUUAGCACAUGCUUAAUAUUUUAAAACGGCAAGUCUGCACGAGAAAGCCCAUAAAAAUGAUGAUUACCUGAUUCCCCUAAUAUUUUAUAUUUAAGACAGAGCAAGCCGUAUACCAAAUGGAUAAAUGGACCUCGAUCUUUGUCUUACAUAUUACUAGUGCCAAGUUGACAAACAACUCAAAUUUCAAUUUGGUCAUUUUAAUGUUUUUUCCACAAAUCUCAACAGUUAAGUGGAUCUGUUGCAUUUACAAAUGCCUUUUUUGUUCUUUCCUGAAAAGUGAUGAUUUGGGGCAUGCAAGGAUUUCACCAGACAUCAUUGAAAUUGUUAUUUUUAAUACAAAGCUGUUAAAUUUGCCAUAAUAUUAUGCAGAGCAAUUAAAAAAAAAAAACUAUUUUUCCCAACUAUGUAUAAUACCAUAUGCUGCAAUUGGAAUUGAUUCA